GUGCUGGCUUCUGCAGCACCUAUGUUAAAAUUGCAAUAAUACAGAGAAGAUUAGGAUGACAUGUAAAUUUCUGAAGCAUUCCAUAUUAAA
This is a small nuclear RNA of Meriones unguiculatus (Mongolian gerbil), 90 nucleotides long. Lineage: Eukaryota; Metazoa; Chordata; Mammalia; Rodentia; Muridae. The record is from Ensembl.